RNAcentral lists this ribosomal RNA (433 nucleotides) under uncultured bacterium. Its description in RNAcentral is "bacterial SSU rRNA". It matches the Rfam family "Bacterial small subunit ribosomal RNA", at positions 29 to 507 of the family's 1533-position model. The record is from RNAcentral.
AACGAACGCUGGCGGCAGGCUUAACACAUGCAAGUCGAACGAGACCUUCGGGUCUAGUGGCGCACGGGUGAGUAACGCGUGGGAAUCUACCUUGGAGUUCGGGAUAACAGUUGGAAACGACUGCUAAUACCGGAUACGCCCUGUGGGGGAAAGGUUUACUGCUCCAAGACGAGCCCGCGUCCAAUUAGGUAGUUGGUGGGGUAAAGGCCUACCAAGCCGACGAUUGGUAGCUGGUCUGAGAGGAUGGCCAGCCACACUGGGACUGAGACACGGCCCAGACUCCUACGGGAGGCAGCAGUGGGGAAUAUUGGACAAUGGGGGCAACCCUGAUCCAGCCAUGCCGCGUGAGUGAUGAAGGCCUUAGGGUUGUAAAGCUCUUUCGCCGGUGACGAUGAUGACGGUAACCGGAGAAGAAGCCCCGGCUAACUUCGUG